This 464-nucleotide ribosomal RNA is filed under the name uncultured bacterium. RNAcentral's name for it is "partial 16S ribosomal RNA". It matches the Rfam family "Bacterial small subunit ribosomal RNA", at positions 29 to 507 of the family's 1533-position model. The record is from RNAcentral.
ACGCACGCUGGCGGCGUGCUUCACACCUGCCAGUCGAACGGAAAGGCCCCUUUGGGGGUACUCGAGUGGCGAACGGGUGAGUAACACGUGAGUAACCUGCCCUUGACUUCGGGAUAACUUCAGGAAACUGGGGCUAAUACCGGAUAGGAAUCCUUGCUGCAUGGUGGGGGUUGGAAAGCUUCGGCGGUUUUGGAUGGACUCGCGGCUUAUCAGCUUGUUGGUGGGGUAGUGGCUUACCAAGGCUUUGACGGGUAGCCGGCUUGAGAGGGCGACCGGCCACAUUGGGACUGAGAUACGGCCCAGACUCCUACGGGAGGCAGCAGUGGGGAAUAUUGCACAAUGGGCGGAAGCCUGAUGCAGCAACGCCGCGUGCGGGAUGACGGCCUUCGGGUUGUAAACCGCUUUCAGCAGGGGCGAAGCUUGUGGUGACGGUACCUGCAGAAGAAGCACCGGCUAACUACGUG